Molecule: small nuclear RNA, 105 nt
Organism: Apodemus sylvaticus (European woodmouse)
Lineage: Eukaryota; Metazoa; Chordata; Mammalia; Rodentia; Muridae
Source: RefSeq, a predicted model, not a curated record
GCUUGCUUUUACAAAGCAUAUACUAAAAUUGCAAUGAUACAGAGAAGAUUAGCAUUGCCUCUUCCUAAGGAUAAAAGAGAAAUUCAUGAAGCAUUCUAUAUUUUU